AUCCAACUGAUCACAAGUCCCAAAUAGGACGAAAUGCGCAUCCUGGAU
Molecule: non-coding RNA, 48 nt
Organism: Trichobilharzia regenti
Lineage: Eukaryota; Metazoa; Platyhelminthes; Trematoda; Strigeidida; Schistosomatidae
Source: Rfam